AACGAACGCUGGCGGCAUGCCUAACACAUGCAAGUCGAACGAGACCUUCGGGUCUAGUGGCGCACGGGUGCGUAACGCGUGGGAACCUGCCCUUAGGUUCGGAAUAACUCCCCUUCGGGGGUGCUAAUACCGGAUAAUGUCUUCGGACCAAAGAUGUAUCGCCUUUGGAUGGGCCCGCGUUGGAUUAGCUAGUUGGUAGGGUAAAAGCCUACCAAGGCGACGAUCCUUAGCUGGUCUGAGAGGAUGAUCAGCCACACUGGGACUGAGACACGGCCCAGACUCCUACGGGAGGGAGCAGUGGGGAAUAUUGGACAAUGGGCGAAAGCCUGAUCCAGCAAUGCCGCGUGAGUGAUGAAGGCCUUAGGGUUGUAAAGCUCUUUUACCCGGGAUGAUAAUGACAGUACCGGGAGAAUAAGCUCCGGCUAACUCCGUG
RNAcentral lists this ribosomal RNA (433 nucleotides) under uncultured bacterium. RNAcentral's name for it is "partial 16S ribosomal RNA". It matches the Rfam family "Bacterial small subunit ribosomal RNA", at positions 29 to 507 of the family's 1533-position model. The record is from RNAcentral.